AACAUUCCCGCGGGAAUCAUCCAUCACCACUUCUAGAACCUUCCACAGGGGCUGCCCUUCUUUUCAGACCCUGGGGCUGCUGCUCACCCGCGCUCUCUCCGAACCCUGGUGGCCACACGCUCAGAAGUGAGGAAGUUCUAGAGGACAGAUCCACUGCAGCCCGCAGGGUUUCCCAUCAGCCCAAAAGCACAGCUGGAAAUCACUUGAUAGGAAUCUGCCCUCUGUCUGGAGGGAGUGGGGGAGUCUGCAAGGGAGGAGUGUUCAGAAUGCCUGGAGUCCUCAUUUGUGCUAAAAGACUGGAAGGCCUCUGCUGAAAGCUCUGUGACUCCUAGCUGGCCUCCAGGGAGCUGCACUCCUGUCGCCUGUGGUCAGGUGGAUGGAAAGGGGCCUGAUUUUACCCCAUCCCUGGGGCGUGGCUUCCUGCUGCACAGUCAGCUUUAGAUGCUGUGCCCUGUGCUGCUUCUGAGCACUGCAGGUGAGGUGUUGCCUCCAACUGACUGGAGCUUCAGCCUCUAGCAGUUUGUGCAGAGGAGGCUCCCCACUGAGUAGGAGGCAGAAUCCCACUGCUGACAGGGGAGAUGGAGCCUCCUCAGGGAGUGGGGCUGCUUGGGGUGAAGAAGCAGUGUGAUUGUCACCAGCUAGCAUGGGUCAUUGCUUUAGUGAUAGUGGAAAUUACAUGAGUUAACAGGCA
This 691-nucleotide long non-coding RNA is filed under the name Heterocephalus glaber (naked mole-rat). RNAcentral's name for it is "lncRNA (ENSHGLG00100052518.1)". Lineage: Eukaryota; Metazoa; Chordata; Mammalia; Rodentia; Bathyergidae. The record is from RNAcentral.